UUCUUACUUACUGUAUCGUCAUUCGGUUGUCCCUUCGUCUGUGGUGUCAUGUUCCGAGACAUCUAUAUCUGGUGUAAUGUCAUACGUUGCUAUUGAUUUAACUGUAUUGCCUUUAUUGUGUCUCGAUUCGAAGUGAGUUCCUUUAAUUGAUUUAUUCGGUAAUAAAUUCUAUUGUAUCUUCAAUACUCUGUGCUUAUCUGUGGAGGAUUUAAGAGCUUGAUCCUGAAGAAACCUGGGACACGGCUCAUCAUACCGGCAGGGCACUUCCAACCAAUGACACCCCAUCCCACGGCCACAUGGAAACUCUCCUCAUCCUCCUAACAUACCAAAAGAUCUCAGCCCGUUUAUGCCUGUGCCUGAUGGUCGUAGUCCAGCACUUUGUUGACAAGAAUCUCGCCCGUUGCUUCAUCGAUUCGAAACUUCUGUUCGCUGUUGCCUUCGACGAUCUGGUAUUCGAAAAGAUUCACUGUGAAAAGAGAAAUAGGAAUAAAGUACACAACUAGAUCUUGAUCAAGGAAGUCGGAACCAUUACAUUUUUCUUUACUCGACAGAGAUUUUCCUUUCGUCAUUUCCUGCAAUCAGGAAUGUAAAGUUGACUGCUAAGGGACGCCAUCUGUCACCUUAAUGGGGAUCUUGUACUGCUUGAACGCCUCUCUGUCCAGGGGCUCCGUCGUCCACAAUUCUCCGUUGGACUUGAGUGCGAAUUUCUGCCUCACGUCUCCCGAAGCCAUGACGUCGAAG
Long non-coding RNA from Macrobrachium nipponense, 741 nucleotides. RefSeq lists it as uncharacterized. The transcript has 5 exons. The record is from RefSeq and is a predicted model, not a curated record. Lineage: Eukaryota; Metazoa; Arthropoda; Malacostraca; Decapoda; Palaemonidae.